CCGGUGCGAUGGGUGGUUGCAAGAUUAUGAUCUUGAGGAAAGUCCGAGCUGCAAUAAGACAGAGUUCCACCUAACGGGUGGCUAGGGAAACCUAAGGGAAAGUGCAACAGAAAGGAAACUGCCGCUAAAGAAAUUUAACGGUGAUGGUGAAACGGCGGGGUAAGAGCCCACCAGUAUAAGUAGAGAUACUUAUAGCUAUGUAAACCCAACUUGCAGCAAGAAGGGAUGGUUUGGAGUCUUAUAUUCAACCCUUCGCUUGAGUUUGAUGCAAUAUCAAAACUAGAUAAAUAACUACCAUAACAGAACUCGGCUUAUUAUCGCACCUGCAAA
RNAcentral lists this RNase P RNA (330 nucleotides) under Campylobacter fetus. RNAcentral's name for it is "RNase P RNA component class A". It matches the Rfam family "Bacterial RNase P class A". From Rfam's summary of the family: Ribonuclease P (RNase P) is a ubiquitous endoribonuclease, found in archaea, bacteria and eukarya as well as chloroplasts and mitochondria. Its best characterised activity is the generation of mature 5'-ends of tRNAs by cleaving the 5'-leader elements of precursor-tRNAs. RNAcentral also lists the same sequence under 1 other name. The record is from RNAcentral. Lineage: Bacteria; Pseudomonadati; Campylobacterota; Epsilonproteobacteria; Campylobacterales; Campylobacteraceae.